Molecule: ribosomal RNA, 302 nt
Filed under: uncultured bacterium
Lineage: Bacteria
Description: partial 16S ribosomal RNA
Rfam family: Bacterial small subunit ribosomal RNA
Source: RNAcentral
GCAGUAGCCGCGGGAAUACAGAGGGUGCGAGCGUUAAUCGGAUUUACUGGGCGUAAAGCGUGCGUAGGCGGCUUCUUAAGUCGGAUGUGAAAUCCCUGAGCUUAACUUAGGAAUUGCAUUCGAUACUGGGAAGCUAGAGUAUGGGAGAGGAUGGUAGAAUUCCAGGUGUAGCGGUGAAAUGCGUAGAGAUCUGGAGGAAUACCGAUGGCGAAGGCAGCCAUCUGGCCUAAUACUGACGCUGAGGUACGAAAGCAUGGGGAGCAAACAGGAUUAGAGACCCCAGUAGUCCCUGUCUCUUAUAC